UCUCCUGUAGCUCAGUUGAAGCUAGAGCAUUUGACUGGUGUGUGGAAAGUCAUAGGUUCAACUCCUGUUGGGAGAA
Non-coding RNA from Desmophyllum pertusum, 76 nucleotides. The record is from the annotation of a GenBank genome assembly. NCBI's taxonomy places the organism in Eukaryota, Metazoa, Cnidaria, Anthozoa, Scleractinia, Caryophylliidae.